RNAcentral lists this ribosomal RNA (192 nucleotides) under uncultured bacterium. Its description in RNAcentral is "partial 16S ribosomal RNA". It matches the Rfam family "Bacterial small subunit ribosomal RNA", at positions 1309 to 1500 of the family's 1533-position model. The record is from RNAcentral.
AACUCGCCUGCAUGAAGUCGGAAUUGCUAGUAAUCGCAGAUCAGCAUGCUGCGGUGAAUACGUUCCCGGGCCUUGUACACACCGCCCGUCACACCAUGGGAGUCGGUAACACCCGAAGUCGGUAGCCUAACCGUAAGGAGGGCGCCGCCGAAGGUGGGAUUGAUGACUGGGGUGAAGUCGUAACAAGGUAUC